RNAcentral lists this ribosomal RNA (253 nucleotides) under uncultured bacterium. RNAcentral's name for it is "partial 16S ribosomal RNA". It matches the Rfam family "Bacterial small subunit ribosomal RNA", at positions 524 to 776 of the family's 1533-position model. The record is from RNAcentral.
GACGAAGGGGGCUAGCUUUGUUCGGAAUUACUGGGCGUAAAGCGCGUGUAGGCGGGCCGUUAAGUCGGGGGUGAAAGCCCAGAGCUCAACUCUGGAACUGCCUUCGAUACUGGCGGCCUGGAGCAUGAUAGAGGCGAGUGGAAUUGCGAGUGUAGAGGUGAAAUUCGUAGAUAUUCGCAGGAACACCAGUGGCGAAGGCGACUCGCUGGAUCAUUGCUGACGCUGAGACGCGAAAGCGUGGGGAGCAAACAGG